This is a long non-coding RNA of Vespa velutina, 7429 nucleotides long. RefSeq lists it as uncharacterized. Lineage: Eukaryota; Metazoa; Arthropoda; Insecta; Hymenoptera; Vespidae. The record is from RefSeq and is a predicted model, not a curated record. The transcript is spliced from 9 exons.
UAUCUCGCCCACGUGCGAUCACAUAUGGAUCGUUGCAGCAGUGUAACGUGCUUCGCCUCUUCGCCAGCUCCACUGACUUGGACGAUACUGAAAGAGAUAAAAAGGUGCAUGGGUUAACUUUGAUCAUAUUCUUUUUCCGCGCGAUUGCUGGACGCGUCACUAUUAAAAAAGAAAAGCAAUGCAAUAACUAUUAUCUCACUCUUUGUAAUUAUAAAUGACGGUCGAUUUAAAUACGGUAGGAUAUUAGACUAGAUUUCAACUGAUCGUCAAUCAAUAGAUGAUCUUUGUCAAAAGCAUCAUCUAGAGUACAUACCCUGAUUAACAUCUGUCCAGAUGCACUGUGAGGAUUACGAUACGCGUAUGCAACCCAUCCUCCUAAACCGGCAAUUAAAGUGACGACAAGGAGGAUUCCGAUUAUACCUGACACGCUCAUAUUCAUAUUCUCUCGAGCUGAAAAAGACAUUCUCGUUAUAUAAGCCUUCUUCGUUCGAUUAUUAAGAAGAUCAUCUAAAUGACUAAAGAGAGAGAGAGAGAGAGAGAGAGAGAGAGAGAGAGAGAAAUCAUUUUUAUUCGCAAUUAAUAAGAUCUAAUCAUUUCUAAACUCACGAUGUUCCAGAGGACUGCUUCCAGGACUUUUCUUCUUCACUACGGAUUUACUCAAGAUUGCAUCUUCUUCCGUAUGAACGUGUCCAUUGUGAUCGUGUCCUUCUUCCUGUUCCUUGUAAAUUGUCGUAGAUGGCGGACAUAUGUCCACCUCCUUAAUAUGUCUGAUGUCACAACCUUUCAACAGCCAAUCCUGUCGUGAUCUAAAUGUACCAGUACUACACUGAUUCAAUUCGGAACACCAUUUGCAGUCAAACUCUGUUAACUUUGUUAAGCAAUCCGUGCAAUUAUCCAUUUCCAAGCAAGUAGGUAACGCACGCAAAUAAAUGACAGUCCAAUUUUUGAUGUCUUGUCUGUUGAAAUUGACGCGAUGAUACUCGUAGAUUGUUUUUCGACGAACAACUGUGAAAAGAAACAAUAAAUAAUAAUUUAUAUUUCAAAUUCGGCUUACGAUCAUUGGUUUAAAAAAUUUUCUAUUUGCUUUGUAGAGUUUCUGAACGGAGAAAAUAAGGAAGAAUAACAAAAGGAACGAGAAAAGAGGACGGACCAUGUUCCAAUAAUCUCGUAGGACGUUUUUAGAACUGGCGAGCGGCCAGUCUUUAUGCGUUAAGUUAAAAUUAAACGAUACCAGGUGGAGAUUGAGAUUAUGCGCUCGAGUUAGUGUCUGCGACAUGUCUAGAGCAGCCGACGAAUGAACGAAAGCUUUUGUUUGCGAGAAAAGAAAAGAACAAAAAUAGGACUUACAGAACACCGUCCUGUCCAUGAUGUAGGCAUCACUGAGCCCAACUUUGACAGGAUGUGUAGUGUCUUCUAUUUGUUCUAUUAUGAAAGGAAUAACGGAAUACACGAAGACGAUGUCACCGUUUUGAUGCAGAGUUACCUGGAAAGUGAAUGAACUGUCGGCGUGCUUCUCCUGUAGAUGAACCUUUUCCCAUUCGACCGUAAAUGACGUACCUAGAAAAAUGUUCAAUAAAUAUAUAAAAAUAAUAGGGAAGAUCAAUAUAAGAACACGAAAAUAUUUUAUUAUUAUCGAUGAUUGAAUCACUUACCAUUAUCGGCAUACUUAACAAAACUCUCGUUGGAAAGUCUCGUGUCGAAAUUAGCCAUAAGUGGUGCAAUGUAUUGAGUGGCGGCUAGCCAACUAUGUACGUACUCUCCCGUAUAUAAAAAUCCACCCGUUGCGAUGGUAAUGUUACGGACCUUGUGACCGUAAAAUGGAAAGUCGAAUUUCAAUUUGACGGUCUAAACAAAAUUAAUAAGAUCCAUAUAAAUAUUAUUCAACUGUUACGUUCUAAAAAUAAGAAUGAGAAUUUUCUUACUGUUGCACGUCGGUGACUUUUGCUGAGCAAAUGAUUAACACGAAGAUCAGGAUGAUUGUCCAUAUCAACCCAAUAACCUUUUGCAACUGACUCAUUGACGAUGAACGUGCUGUUAUAAUAUUGAUGCGCAUCCAUUUCGGUCUUUGUUAUGUUGUUCUGCGCGAGCGAUUUAUUAAACGCAUUCAUGUCGGAGAACUUGGUGAUGGAUAUCCCGCCUAUGUCAGUAUCAGAUUGCUCCUUUUCAUUGCCAUUGUCCUUCUCAGUGGUAGGCUCUGAAACCUCGCUCUUUUUACUUUGGUUGUUGACUGUUUCAGUAACGUAACCUCCGGAAGCACUUUCAUUUAGUUCCUGUUCCUCGGCAGUAUCACCUGACAUUGUGGGUUGCUGUGAAACACUUCCAGUUAUCUACCAAAGCGAUUUUUCAAGAUUAACGAACUUGAAAAAGUAAUAUGGAAGAUUCCGAGAUACAUAUAUACAUAUAUGUAUAUAUAUAUAUAUAUAUAUAUAUAUAUAUAUAUAUAUAUAUAUAUAUAUAUAUACCGGAUUCAUCGGCUGAGACACAAGGACGGAGUUCCUCUUCGACGUUACUUCAGACUUUUGCGUAGAAACCUCAACGCUUGGUUUAGUGCUGGAAGCUGCAUCGUGAUUUUCUGAUGCUCCACUAAUCGUCGAAUAAGAAACAUCAUCUGAUUGUGAGUUGGAUGUAGCAUUUACAGGCUUUUGUUGUUGUUGCUGCUGCUGCUGCUGUUGUUCCUGUUGUUGCUUUAGGUUUUGCUGAAGCGUCGAUGGUUGUUGAAUUAUCUGAUGAUUUAUAGAAGUUUGCUCCAAUCCUUGCUGCUGUUGUUGUAUUGAUUGUUGUUGCUGUUGCUGCUGUUGUUGUUGAUGUAUCUUGUCUCCAGCCUGUUCACCCUGGGGCUCCCUAUCAGAGUUUAUCGUGUCUUUAUCGUUAGUCAUUCGGCGUUCUCUGACAAGCAGCUCUUCUUCAGGAGCAAAGGAUAAAUAUGGUAAACUGUAUUCGACUGAUGAUCUCGCGUUUGACAUGAUUCCAGAAUAGCUAUAGUAUUCGUGAUCUGUAAAAAAUUAACAACAAUCGAAUGAAGAAUAGAUAUACUGAUUGAAUGAAGUGUACAAAGAAAAAUCAGUCAUCGAAGUAAAGACGAUAUAACGUAUAAAAUAUAAAGUUGGAAUCAGCUCGAAGAGAUCUAAUUGAUAGAUUAGACAGGGUUAAAUUUCAAUUCUUAUUCCGUUCGCGUGCCUAUACCAGGACGAUCAAUUCGGUGUUAUUAAUUCGUAUGUUAAGAAUGAAUUAAUAACAUCGAAUAUUCUUCAUCGAUGAAUCACAUCAAUGAAGAACAGUCGCAUACGUACUUGCAUCGUUGCACUUAGUUAUUAAUUUUUUUAAGUAACGUAAUGUAUUAUAUAUUAUAUCGGCAUACAACGAGCUAGUAAGCAGGGCAAACGAUCGACCGGAUAAGGCAAUGAUUGGCGUUGCAACGGAUCACCAUGAUAGUAGAGCUCGAGAUGUCGGGAAUAAAAUAUACGAAGCCGAUGUCUUUUUUCUUAUCAUUACGUAUAUAUCGUACAACCGUCAACAUCUUAUUUCAGGAUAAAAAUACGCGAACGUUGGAUCAAGCAAGAAGAAUCUAACAGGAAAAUUGAAUAAGAAUAAGGAGGAAUUUUGACACGUAUACACAACCUUGAGCUAUCGAGAGAGAGGGAGAGAGAGAGAGAGAGAGAGAGAGAGAGAGAGAGAGAGAGAGAGAGAGAGAGAGAGAGAGGUCUGCAACGUCUUUGUCUCUGUGCUAAUGGAAAUUACAUGCCGCAACGAAUUUCCCUUGCAAAUACAAAGAUUAGUCGAUACUUGUCAAGGACGAAUACUGGAAUCCAUUCUCGCGAUUAUGAACAUUCCAUUUGGUAAAUUAUUGCGAAUCAUUCGGACAACGACACGAUCUUUAUUGUUACGUAUACGAUGAGUUAAUGUGAUUGCAUUAUUAACCGUUUUCAUUUACAAUUGGAAUAAUGAAUUAAUAAAGAAUAAUGAUAGCUGAGCAAGGAAAUGAACGAUUUGAAAAAUCCUGCGCUUCUUUUUACCUUGGAGCAACUCGAGCGAUAAACUAGAUUCAUUAAAAAAUACCUAAUAACAACAACAAAAAUAAAAUGACAUGAACAUCUCUAUACCUUGUAAUGAUUGUAAAAUCUCUAAGGAUUUUGUUCUUUCAAGAAAAAAAAAAAAAAACAAAAAAAAAAAAAAAAAAAGAAUUAAGAAAAUAGAAGGAAAGACAGAGUUCGUGAUUCGCACGAAAGAUUCUUCCCCGUGUCUGGGAGAGAAACGUCGACGGCAUAAAGAAUCGAUUCUUCGGAGUCCAGCGACCCUUUUACUUCGUCUGCGAAUUGAAAACGUCGUUGACCAUUGAAUGCGUCUGGGAUGCAUUGUAUCUGUAUAUAUUGAUGAAAUGUACAGGGUGUCCCAUUUAACAUCCCAAAAAUAUUAUGAUAAUCUAACACUUUUUUCUGUUUUAAUUUACAGACAGCGUUCUAUAAUAUUUGAGUCAUGCAUUUCGUUACUGAUGAUCAUAAGGAAAAGAAAGAGAGAGAGAGUGAAAUAAUGAAAUGAAGAAAAGAUAAGAAGAAGAAGAUAAUAUCGUAUAUAAUUUACAAGUCGUGUCUACUUCAAGGUUUCUCGAGAUCCUGAACGAAGUCGAGAUGAGCGUAGGUCGUCGCCGAAGAAACGAAAUAAAAAUUCCAUAAGUGUAUAGAGGAGGUGAUGAGGGGGAAAUAAAGUAGGAGGAGUAGGCGCCGCUGGGUAAUCGACCGAUCGAGUUUGACCAGAGUUGAUCGUUGGACGACCUUGGAAAGUAUCGUCUCUCUCCCAGAUUCGUUUGAUAGGUGUAGAAAAUCUCGUUAGUUCCGAUCAUCGAUUUGACUCGAUCAAGUUGGAAAGUCUCUCGAAAGAAUCAAGCGGAAAAGGAAAGGAAAGCUUAUUUGCUUCAGUUAACGUGGCAACAUUAAAGUCAUUAUGGCAUACUAUGUCGUUGGUUAAAUGAGUAAGAUACCAGGAGGACGUAGAUAUUGCAUAAACUUCUCUAUCGCAUCCGAAAGCACAAGCUGAAAUACAUCCUGUUCGUCUAAGUUCAUUCAAGAAUUUGUACAUCAUCGUCUGAACUCAAGAAGAAGAAAGUGUGUGUGUGUGUGUGUAUACUCUACCAAAAACUAUCUAAGAAUGCGUUCCAGUAAAAUAGAUGUCUUAAUAGGGCUUGAUAAUAAUCAUAAACAAACUUUUCUUCGUGUUCGACUAAUCAUCACGUCAUCAUUGUAAUAAGAUAUUUGAAUCAUCCAAAUGAGAUUAUUCAAGGAAUAUAAAUUACCAUGAUAGUUCUGCUAAUCGUAAAAAAUAGAAACGGAAGGACUUGUAUUAUUGGUCGACGAGCUUCCGGUGUGAAACCCUCUCUCUACGCAGAGACUAUUCUAAGCAUUUGCCUGGCCUCCUCCGUUACACCUACGCACGUAUUUUAUAAUCGAUAGUAUUAAACAACAGUCAGGUCGACAUAUAUGUGUCCUUGGUGGUAACAAUAUGAAGAAAUCUUUGUUUACAAAUUAAAGUAAACAGUAUCGUCAUUGGAAGAAAUUCACCGUCCAUUUACGAAGAAGCGUGGCAUGUAUACAAACGUUAACACGUAUUAGCUUGCGAGACGCAGAAGAAGAGACACACGAGAAGCAAUCGAGUAUAAUCGUUCUUAGACCGUUCCGUUCGCAUUAGGCAAGCUUAAUGACCGUAUAAAAGGGUGCCACGUGGGUGUUCGUUAUCUUCGCUGAGCUACACCCUUUUCCUCUUCGAAAUUCGCCUCGCUCGUCUUUGUCGCAUACGUCUGCUAUACCGGCUGGCCCCGUUUUAGUUUCGUCUUUUUGUAUCUUUCGUUUUAUGUUCCUCAUAUACUGCGGGUGUGCAUAUGGUAUAUACAUACAUAUAUGUAUGUAUAUAUAUAAAAUCAUAUACAUAGAUGUGUUAUUUUAAGAACAGAAGCUCAUUUAAACGUUUCUUAAGAGUAUUAGAAACUUAACGGUUAAACUGACAAGUGUAAAUUAAACAUUUGUCGGAUUGUAAAAAUGAACUGUUGAUUGAAAGAAUUCGUUAAAAAAAAAAAAAAAAAAAAAAAAAAAAAAAAAGAGAGAAGAAAAAAGAAAAAAAAAGAAAAAAAAAUGUAAAACAUUAUUUAAUUGCGUUAUAAUUUAAAACUGUACUUUUAUCUAGCAAAAUCGAAAGCCUUCGAGUAAUUUUUAUAUAUCUAUACAAUGGAUAUGCGUAUGAAUGUAACAGGUAUAGAGUACAUAUGUAAGCACGUAAUACAAUAGCUAUAGAUUACACAGGACGGUAGACGUUUACGCACGAAGCAGAAGCCAGACAUGCGAGUAAAGCUCGAAGGUGUGUGUCGUGUUUACGAUUUACAUUGAGAUAAGAAGAUAUCGGGUGAACGUUUGUAUCUACGAAAGGGUUAGCCCUUUAUCUGCAACAAUAUAGAAUUAUUACAUACAUUAUAUAAUCAUUUUUGCUGACCAUGCAACUAGUUUUUUUAUUUUUUAAUUUUUUUCUUUGAUGCACAACUUGCAUAAUAUAAUCAUAAAAUAACUGAAAAUGGUCGAAACGUCUGUCAUUAUUUUUAACUCGACGAUAUGGCCAAUAAUUUGCUUCUUUCUUCCCGAACAAAGUAACUGAUAAUUUGUACAUACGUACAUUACACACAUGUAUAGGCGGAUAAAACAAGAAACAUGUGUCGUUGAAUCAAGCGUAUUGCGUUUAGUUGUUCUUUUUCUUUUUCCUCUCAAAGGAAAGCAUAAAAGACGAAUAGUUAUAUAAAGGAAAAAGUGUAAUUAUUUUUCGAGAAAUGUAGAUCUUGAAACAUUUCCAAGAACAUCAUAGCGUAUGGUUUGUAAAUUUCUUGAUUAUUUCAGAAAUUCGUCGAAAAAAGAAUUUUCCUUUAAGUCGAGGAAGUUUAGUUUUAAUUUUAACUUCGCUCUGAUAAUCUGGAUACAUAGGGUGUAACAUACACGCGUAUAGGCAUGUAUAUGCGUAAGUAUUAGAAACGUACGCAAAACGUUUGGAACGUAGAUUGACGAGUGGCCACUCGUUGAACUCUUUCACUCGCUCACAUGGAAGGUCUCGAAUCAUAAUGAUCGCGUUGACGGCAGAAAAAGCCCUCGAGCUCAACGCUUCUCUCACCAUUCCAAAGAUCGUAGUCAAGAAGAAGUUAGAAGAACCCUUGGCGAUAUUCCUACGCCAUAUGUGAACAAGAACGUUCACAGAAAUGGUGUAAAAAACGAGAGAAAAAAGGGAAAUAACGAUGUGACGAAGUUUCAUUUAGAUCUUAUUUUCUUUUUAACAAUUUCUAUGAUUUCUAAUUUUUCUUUGUAUAUCGUAAAUUAUCAUGCGUCCAAUUGCACGUAAUAAUUUUCGAAGAUAUAAAAUUAUAUAUAUAUAUAUAUAUAUUUUUUGUUUUACGAAAAAACGUUCG